Long non-coding RNA from Bos taurus (domestic cattle), 496 nucleotides. Lineage: Eukaryota; Metazoa; Chordata; Mammalia; Artiodactyla; Bovidae. The record is from Ensembl.
GCCCAGGAGGCGUGGCUCGCAGCCUCAGGGUUUGUGGUAAUAGGCUAAGUUUCCCGGUUGUCUCUGGCCAAUCAUCUUGUUUGUUCCCGUAUUUGGUCCGACUCAGGGCCUCCCUCGCUGCGGACUCAGUCAAGAUGAGUUCCAGCGCCAGAGCUUCUGGGAGGACAUAUUAUAGGCUGACAUCGCCUUCUGCUUUGGCUCCUCCCGAGUUCUUCUGGUCUGGCAGCAGCUUGUCUGCACUGUGUUCUUUAUCAGGACCUCCUGUUGAGAAACAACUCGUACAAAGGGUUACUGUCGUGCCUGAUUGGGAACUGCUACUGUGGCCAUUUGUGACCAGCUGAGGAUGAAGCCAGUGCUGGAGAGGACAGAGAGAAGAGCUCGAAAGAACCUGGCUUCUUCAUAACAUUGCUGAGUGGCUGGAUCCACCUGCCUUUGAAGCUCUUGAUCUCUCUGCCAACUUUCAUGUUACCUGAGAUAAUAAACUCUUUAUUGUUUG